Molecule: ribosomal RNA, 506 nt
Filed under: uncultured bacterium
Lineage: Bacteria
Description: partial 16S ribosomal RNA
Rfam family: Bacterial small subunit ribosomal RNA
Source: RNAcentral
AGUGAACGCUGGCGGUAGGCCUAACACAUGCAAGUCGAACCGCAGCACAGGAGAGCUUGCUCUCUGGGUGGCGAGUGGCGGACGGGUGAGGAAUACAUCGGAAUCUACUCUGUCGUGGGGGAUAACGUAGGGAAACUUACGCUAAUACCGCAUACGACCUACGGGUGAAAGCAGGGGAUCUUCGGACCUUGCGCGAUUGAAUGAGCCGAUGUCGGAUUAGCUAGUUGGCGGGGUAAAGGCCCACCAAGGCGACGAUCCGUAGCUGGUCUGAGAGGAUGAGCAGGCACACUGGAGCUGAGACACGGUCAGGACGCCUACGGGAGGCAGCAGUGGGGAAUAUUGGACAAUGGGCGCAAGCCUGAUCCAGCCAUACCGCGUGGGUGAAGAAGGCCUUCGGGUUGUAAAGCCCUUUUGUUGGGAAAGAAAUCCAGCUGGUUAAUACCCGGUUGGGGUGACGGUACCCAAAGAAUAAGCACCGGCUAACUUCGUGCCAGCCGCCGCGGUAA